RNAcentral lists this ribosomal RNA (428 nucleotides) under uncultured marine bacterium. RNAcentral's name for it is "bacterial SSU rRNA". It matches the Rfam family "Bacterial small subunit ribosomal RNA", at positions 360 to 804 of the family's 1533-position model. The record is from RNAcentral.
AAUACUGGCCAAUGGGGCGCAAGCCUGAUCCACCCAUGCCGCGUGAGUGAUGAAGGCCAUAGGGUUGUAAAGCUCUUUCAACGGUGAAGAGAAUGACGGUAGCUGUAGAAGAAGCCCCGGCUAACUUCGUGCCAGCAGCCGCGGCAAUACGAAGGGGGCGAGCGUUGUUCGGAAUCACUGGGCGUAAAGCGUACGUAGGCGGAUAGAUCAGUUAGGGGUGAAAUCCCGAGGCUCAACCUCGGAACUGCCUCUAAUACUGUCUAUCUAGAGAUCGAGAGAGGUGAGUGGAAUUCCUAGUGUAGAGGUGAAAUUCGUAGAUUUUAGGAAGAACACCAGUGGCGAAGGCGGCUCACUGGCUCGCUACUGACGCUGAGGUACGAAAGCGUGGGGAGCAAACAGGAUUAGAUACCCUGGUAGUCCACGCCGUA